This 468-nucleotide ribosomal RNA is filed under the name uncultured bacterium. Its description in RNAcentral is "partial 16S ribosomal RNA". It matches the Rfam family "Bacterial small subunit ribosomal RNA", at positions 28 to 507 of the family's 1533-position model. The record is from RNAcentral.
GACGAACGCUGGCGGCGUGCUUAACACAUGCAAGUCGAACGGAAAGGCCCUGCUUUUGUGGGGUGCUCGAGUGGCGAACGGGUGAGUAACACGUGAGUAACCUGCCCUUGACUUUGGGAUAACUUCAGGAAACUGGGGCUAAUACAGGAUAGGAGCUCCUGCUGCAUGGUGGGGGUUGGAAAGUUUCGGCGGUUGGGGAUGGACUCGCGGCUUAUCAGCUUGUUGGUGGGGUAGUGGCUUACCAAGGCUUUGACGGGUAGCCGGCCUGAGAGGGUGACCGGCCACAUUGGGACUGAGAUACGGCCCAGACUCCUACGGGAGGCAGCAGUGGGGAAUAUUGCACAAUGGGCGGAAGCCUGAUGCAGCAACGCUGCGUGCGGGAUGACGGCCUUCGGGUUGUAAACCGCUUUCGCCUGUGACGAAGCGUGAGUGACGGUAAUGGGUAAAGAAGCACCGGCUAACUACGUG